GUCAGACAUUGGGAUGGCAUUUAGCUCGGCAGCAGCAGCUUCUCCAUCAUCACUGAACACAACUGAACUCCGUUUUUAUUUAAAUGAGGAGCUGUUUGAUAGAUACCAUUGAUCCCACUGUUCAACAACCAAAUGCUGAUAUAGUUGGCACUUAGUGGCACACAUUAAUGAACUGAACUAUGUUAAUGAAAUGUGUCAUCUUCUCUGACCGCUGACAUGCUGUGUGGCUACACAGCAUGUCAGCAGCAGCCUGCUCUCCGUGCAGGAUAACAUCCACAUUUGAUGAUUUUCCAACUUUUACUAAAUCAUUAAUAAUUAGAUGCUAAAAUCAUAACAUUCAAUCCAUUUCUACAUAGGCACUCUUUAAAAAAAAAGAAAAAAAUAAUUAAAAUACCACUGAGCCAUCAGCUAUUCUGGAUUGCACAACCUCAUCUCAAACAGGCUGGGCUUUGAAACAGUUUUCUUUACCUUGUAGGCCUUGAUUAGCUCCUCUGUUUUUCACCAAGAUAGAGAAUGAGGCCUCUGAUCACAGCCUCUCUUCAGGACUCAAUGCUGUUGUGCUAUAAAAAAAGAAAGGAGAUCAUGCUAAGUACAAACAUCAGAAUGCUAAUAUAUAACUAACUAUUUAACUGCAAUAAGUACAUGCCUCAUUUACCAUGUCACGGGUCUCAUCAAGUUUCUUCCCAACAGCUUAGAGGCUCAACAGCCUGGGUGUGUAUUGGUCCAACUUCCCCAGUAAUGUGAACUGUAGUGGCUUUAGUGUGAUCCUCCAUAAUUCAUCCUUGAUCUGCAAAAGAGGUCAGAAGUGAGAUUGUAGCAGGAUAAGCAUUUUGUCUUGUUUCCCCUCUUGUCCUUUGUUUACAUUUGGUUACUAUGGUUUCCGCUAUGCAUUGGGGUGGGCCAGUAUAAAAGCGGUAGUCUGCCCACCGGUUCGUCCUCUCAUCAUUUCCGGGUCGGCGGUUGUGUGCCCGACAGGGCGAUCGUGUGCUGCUGUGUGCUUCCUGUCCGUGUGCGCCGCUGUGAUUGUUUGGCGGUGUUGCUGUAGGCCGGUGGUGGCGUUGCUGGUGACCUGGUGGUGGCAUCCUCCCUUGUCUUGUCUUGCUGUGUCCCUUGGAGUGGGUUUUUCUUCACUGAGAGUGUGUCUGCCACGUGUGCCCGGUGACUUAAGUUUGUUUCUUUAUUUUGGUGGAUUCCUCCCCUGCACUAGCCUUCGUCCAUCCACUUUGGCCUCAGCCCUGAUUAGGUUUGUUUUUUGUGUGAAUGAGUUAAUUGAUUUUUAAGAAUAUAUUAAAAUAAAAUGCAUUUUAAAACUUUGAACCACGUCUCUCGCCUUUAAGUAACUACGAACCUGUGUGCCUUGCGUAAGAAAAUAAUUCUCUGGGUGAAAUUCCCAGGGUGGCGUUGUUGAGCUUUUAGUAUUUUUCCUUUCUUUUCACCUCCUCCUUGCCACAAGAUGGAGAAAUAUCUUGAGAUACAGAAAAAAAGAAUAACAGAGACACAGAGCAACAAAAACAGAACAGAGUCAUGCAUUUUAUUCUGACAGCCUCAUCAGGCUUACUUUUGCUGCAUUUUAGACUGGGCUGUCACGACAUUUUUUUCAGUGAAAGACCAGAAUCUCUGCCCCCAAAAAUUACUUUUUGUCUGGUCCAUAAACUGAAAUAAUCUAACAUGUGUCCACUUUCCCCACAACAAUUGUUUUUGCAUACCUUCACCAGUGUGCUUGACAUGAUAAAUCAUCUGAUAAGCACACAAUGACAUAGUAACUGACCACUAAAGAGAUCGCCUAUGCAGCACGCAUCUCACUCUGCCCCCUGUACAGUGGGCUCUCUAUUUGAGAACUCAG
This is a long non-coding RNA of Sparus aurata (gilthead seabream), 1843 nucleotides long. The record is from Ensembl. Lineage: Eukaryota; Metazoa; Chordata; Actinopteri; Spariformes; Sparidae.